AUUGAACACUGGCGGCAGGCCUAACACAUGCAAGUCGAGCGCGAAAGGCUUUCGGGCUGAGUAGAGCGGCGGACGGGUGAGUAACGCGUAGGAAUCUACCUGGUAGUGGGGGACAACUUGGGGAAACUCAAGCUAAUACCGCAUACGCCCUAUGGGGGAAAGUGGGGGACCUUCGGGCCUCACGCUAUCAGAUGAGCCUGCGUAGGAUUAGCUAGUUGGUGAGGUAAAGGCUCACCAAGGCGACGAUCCUUAGCUGGUCUGAGAGGAUGAUCAGCCACACUGGGACUGAGACACGGCCCAGACUCCUACGGGAGGCAGCAGUGGGGAAGUAUUGCGCAAUGGGGGCAACCCUGACGCAGCCAUGCCGCGUGUGUGAAGAAGGCCUCGG
RNAcentral lists this ribosomal RNA (388 nucleotides) under uncultured bacterium. RNAcentral describes it as "bacterial SSU rRNA". It matches the Rfam family "Bacterial small subunit ribosomal RNA", at positions 29 to 420 of the family's 1533-position model. The record is from RNAcentral.